CCCCACGAGAAGGAAUAGUCUUCA
This 24-nucleotide non-coding RNA is filed under the name Cricetulus griseus (Chinese hamster). The record is from RNAcentral. Lineage: Eukaryota; Metazoa; Chordata; Mammalia; Rodentia; Cricetidae.